UACAGAGGACCCAAGCGUUGUUCGGAUUCAUUGGGCGUAAAGGGUGCGUAGGUGGCGCCGUAAGUCGGGUGUGAAAUUUCGGAGCUUAACUCCGAAACUGCAUUCGAUACUGCGGUGCUUGAGGACUGGAGAGGAGACUGGAAUUCAUGGUGUAGCAGUGAAAUGCGUAGAGAUCAUGAGGAAGACCAGUGGCGAAGGCGGGUCUCUGGACAGUUCCUGACACUGAGGCACGAAGGCCAGGGGAGCAAACGGG
This 253-nucleotide ribosomal RNA is filed under the name uncultured bacterium. RNAcentral describes it as "partial 16S ribosomal RNA". It matches the Rfam family "Bacterial small subunit ribosomal RNA", at positions 524 to 776 of the family's 1533-position model. The record is from RNAcentral.